AAUAGAUACCCAGGUAGUCCACGCCGUAAACGAUGUCGACUUGGAGGUUGUUCCCUUGAGGAGUGGCUUCCGGAGCUAACGCGUUAAGUCGACCGCCUGGGGAGUACGGCCGCAAGGUUAAAACUCAAAUGAAUUGACGGGGGCCCGCACAAGCGGUGGAGCAUGUGGUUUAAUUCGAUGCAACGCGAAGAACCUUACCUGGUCUUGACAUCCACAGAAUUCUGCAGAGAUGCGGAAGUGCCUUCGGGAACUGUGAGACAGGUGCUGCAUGGCUGUCGUCAGCUCGUGUUGUGAAAUGUUGGGUUAAGUCCCGCAACGAGCGCAACCCUUAUCCUUUGUUGCCAGCGGCUAGGCCGGGAACUCAAAGGAGACUGCCAGUGAUAAACUGGAGGAAGGUGGGGAUGACGUCAAGUCAUCAUGGCCCUUACGACCAGGGCUACACACGUGCUACAAUGGCAUAUACAAAGAGAAGCGACCUCGCGAGAGCAAGCGGACCUCAUAAAGUAUGUCGUAGUCCGGAUCGG
This 524-nucleotide ribosomal RNA is filed under the name uncultured bacterium. RNAcentral's name for it is "bacterial SSU rRNA". It matches the Rfam family "Bacterial small subunit ribosomal RNA", at positions 777 to 1301 of the family's 1533-position model. The record is from RNAcentral.